Molecule: non-coding RNA, 115 nt
Organism: Triticum aestivum (bread wheat)
Lineage: Eukaryota; Viridiplantae; Streptophyta; Magnoliopsida; Poales; Poaceae
Source: Rfam
UAGCUACUCCCUACGUUCGGAAUUACUUGUCUUGAAAAUGAAUGUAUCUAGAACUAAAAUACGUGUAGAUACAUCCAUUUCUGCAACAAGUAAUUCCGAACGGAGGGAGUACUAU